Long non-coding RNA from Sphaeramia orbicularis (orbiculate cardinalfish), 780 nucleotides. RefSeq lists it as uncharacterized. The record is from RefSeq and is a predicted model, not a curated record. NCBI's taxonomy places the organism in Eukaryota, Metazoa, Chordata, Actinopteri, Kurtiformes, Apogonidae. The transcript is spliced from 2 exons.
ACUGUAAUUUUGAAGAGUAAAUAAAGAGCCAUCAAAUCCUAGCAAAACAAACUAGACACGUUUGGGUUUUAUUUUCCACUCCAUCAUUUUCUCCAGCUGAGGCUUUUCCAGGUGUGAGACAUAAUAAGAGACCUUAUUAAAAGGUUAGUCUCUAAAAAAAUGUAUAGAUCUAGUCAGAUUUACUUAAUACUGUAUUUUACUGACAUUCAUUUAGAUUUCUCAAGUCCCCAUGUAUUUUUAUUUGCACACAUCUGUCAAAUUUAGACAUUUCCUUAAAUACUUUAACAUCAUUUUAUUCAUUUUCAGUUGUCAAAAUAUCCUUAAACUUACAUGGCUCAUUUAAAAUAUUACGGAAAAAGACAAAUUAAAGGAAAAUUAUAUAAAUUAUUUAAUCCAAUGUCUUUUAUUGGUAAAAUAUGCUUUAUUAUAUUCAUAUUUGUUCACUGAUAUUGAUGAUAAUGUAACCAGUAAAUCAUUUAAAUAUGUUUAAUUCAAUGUGACCUAGACCCAGACAAGGGAAUAAGAUGGAUGAAUUCAACUAAAUAUUCAUAAUAUUUGAUUCAUUAAUUCACCCCAGUCUCAUUUUACAGUGGUGACCAGACCUCCACAUUUAGAUACAUUUCUGAAUGUGACUUGCCCUUCACUCCCCUAUCACCACAUCCUCGGGUCUUAGUCAAAUGGAGAUAACGAAGCACCCAUAACAUUUGGAGUGAACUAAAAUGAAGUGGCAUCCAGUAAAAAAAACGCAGAAUAAUUUCACUGCAGACCUGAGCAUUUAUU